Molecule: long non-coding RNA, 884 nt
Organism: Dermochelys coriacea (leatherback sea turtle)
Lineage: Eukaryota; Metazoa; Chordata; Testudines; Dermochelyidae
Exons: 2
Source: RefSeq, a predicted model, not a curated record
CAAAAGUUUGAACUUGUCAGGAGGUCUAUUCUAGGAGUACUUCUCAUUCAGGGAACAUUGCAACCACUGGGGCUGAAGACUGGGGAAAAUCCUGGCACUGCUGAAGUCAAUGGGGAAAUCCUGUCCUCACUGAAGCCAACGGGGAAUUCCCAGUAACUUCAGCAGGGCCAGGAUUUCCCCCUUUUCACUAGUGGCUCCAGGAUAAAAAACUAAGCAUAGAUUCUUAUAGGAGGCUUAGAAAUGCCAGAUACUGUUAAUGAAAUUAAUCUCUACAUGUCAUCUAGCAAGAAGCAAGCUUGGGGGGUGGGGGGGAGCCAGUCUUAUUUCAGAAAAGUCAGUCUCCAGAGUGAAUUUAGGGUUAAAGGCUAGUCAAAGCAAAUCCUCCUCUCACCUCACUAUUCAAUCCUCUCUCAAAUAAAGUAAUCUGAAGACAAAAGUGGUGCACUGGCAUUUCAACCCAUUUACAAAGGAAAAGUUUCAUCCACAGUCUUAAAUAUAAAAAAAAAUAUCAGCAUUUGGGAAACUCACUUACCACGGAGAACUCAGAAUAGCGCACGCACAUAAACCAAUGAAACAUUCAUUUUUAAUUUGAGUAGUUAUGACCCAAUGAAUUAUAUUAUAGUGUAAAAAAAAAGCUGUUAGCCUUUUGGUACUAGUACCUCAGGACUUCCCUAUGUGAAAUUCACAUAGAGUAACAAACCAGAGAAAGCCAGGAAUUAGUGAUGUGAUUUGAGAACUUGUAGUAAUUGGUUUAUUAUUUUCAGUUUUUAAUCACACAACCCAAGAGUGUUUUCCCCUUGGCCUAUGGUUCAAGGCAUGGGGGAGGGGGGGGAAGAGAGAGAGAACUGCCUCAUCAGAAACAGAGGGCUAGUUAAAAAAGGAUU